RNAcentral lists this ribosomal RNA (454 nucleotides) under Escherichia coli. RNAcentral's name for it is "bacterial LSU rRNA". It matches the Rfam family "Bacterial large subunit ribosomal RNA", at positions 117 to 612 of the family's 2925-position model. The record is from RNAcentral. Lineage: Bacteria; Pseudomonadati; Pseudomonadota; Gammaproteobacteria; Enterobacterales; Enterobacteriaceae.
AAUGGGAAACCCCAGUGUGUUUCGACACACUAUCAUUAACUGAAUCCAUAGGUUAAUGAGGAGAACCGGGGGAACUGAAACAUCUAAGUACCCCGAGGAAAAGAAAUCAACCGAGAUUCCCCCAGUAGCGGCGAGCGAACGGGAGGAGCCCAGAGCCUGAAUCAGUGUGUGUGUUAGUGGAAGCGUCUGGAAAGGCGCGCGAUACAGGGUGACAGNCCCGUACACNAAAAUGCACAUACUGUGAGCUCGAUGAGUAGGGCGGGACACGUGGUAUCCUGUCUGAAUAUGGGGGGACCAUCCUCCAAGGCUAAAUACUCCUGACUGACCGAUAGUGAACCAGUACCGUGAGGGAAAGGACGAAAAGAACCCCGGCGAGGGGAGUGAAAAAGAACCUGAAACCGUGUACGUACAAGCAGUGGGAGCCUCUUAAUGGGGUGACUGCGUACCUUUUGUA